AGUGAACGCUGGCGGUAGGCCUAACACAUGCAAGUCGAACGGCAGCACACUAAGAGCUUGCUCUUACGGGUGGCGAGUGGCGGACGGGUGAGGAAUACAUCGGAAUCUACUUUUUCGUGGGGGAUAACGUAGGGAAACUUACGCUAAUACCGCAUACGACCUACGGGUGAAAGCAGGGGAUCUUCGGACCUUGCGCGAUUGAAUGAGCCGAUGUCGGAUUAGCUAGUUGGCGGGGUAAAGGCCCACCAAGGCGACGAUCCGUAGCUGGUCUGAGAGGAUGAUCAGCCACACUGGAACUGAGACACGGUCCAGACUCCUACGGGAGGCAGCAGUGGGGAAUAUUGGACAAAGGGCGCAAGCCUGAUCCAGCCAUACCGCGUGGGUGAAGAAGGCCUUCGGGUUGUAAAGCCCUUUUGUUGGGAAAGAAAAGCAGCAGGUUAAUACCCCGCUGUUCUGACGGUACCCAAAGAAUAAGCACCGGCUAACUUCGUG
RNAcentral lists this ribosomal RNA (492 nucleotides) under uncultured bacterium. RNAcentral describes it as "partial 16S ribosomal RNA". It matches the Rfam family "Bacterial small subunit ribosomal RNA", at positions 29 to 507 of the family's 1533-position model. The record is from RNAcentral.